ACACCCCUUCCAUGUUAGGAGUUUUAGUUAGCCCUGUGGAACUUCCCUGUGCUCUACAACUUUGAAAGGAAGAGACCUGGACUCUGAGUCAUGGCCUGGAUUUCUGUUUUGAUCGCACUUCUGGCUCACUGCACAGGGGCCAUUUCCAAGGCUGUUGUGACUCAGGAAACUUCACUAAUCACAUCUCCUGGAGGGAUAGUAACACUCACUUGUGGCUCUAGUACUGGGGCUGUUACCACCAGUAACUAUGCCAAGUGGAUCCAAGAAACAUCUUACCAGGUAUACACUGGUCUUAUAGGUGAUACCAGCACUAGAGUCCCACAUGUUCCUGCCCGAUUCUCAGGCUCCUUGCUUGGAGACAAGGCUGCCCUCACCAUCACAGGGGCCCAGUCUGAGGAUGAGGCUGUGUAUUACUGUGCUCUGUGGUAUGGUGAUCAUUUACACAAUGACACAAACAGAUGGCCAUCUUACCUUGCUCUUUUUGGCAGUGUCUCUGAAGCACGCUGGAGCAUGGUGAUGGAGUCUUCUCAGCUGUUUAGGCUUUAA
This is a non-coding RNA of Myodes glareolus (Bank vole), 546 nucleotides long. The record is from the annotation of a RefSeq genome assembly. NCBI's taxonomy places the organism in Eukaryota, Metazoa, Chordata, Mammalia, Rodentia, Cricetidae.